UGGGCCCUACGGGACGCAGCAGUGGGGAAUAUUGCACAAUGGGGGAAACCCUGAUGCAGCGACGCCGCGUGGGUGAAGAAGUAUUUCGGUAUGUAAAGCCCUAUCAGCAGGGAAGAAGAAUGACGGUACCUGACUAAGAAGCACCGGCUAAAUACGUGCCAGCAGCCGCGGUAAUACGUAUGGUGCAAGCGUUGUCCGGAUUUAUUGGGCGUAAAGCGAGUGCAGGCGGUUCAAUAAGGCUUAUGUGGAAGCCUUCGGCUCAACCGGAGAAUUGCAUC
Molecule: ribosomal RNA, 278 nt
Filed under: uncultured bacterium
Lineage: Bacteria
Description: partial 16S ribosomal RNA
Rfam family: Bacterial small subunit ribosomal RNA
Source: RNAcentral